UUUAUUGCAGAGUGUGACUUUGUUGUUGCGUUUUAAGUGAAACUAACGACGCCUGCUACUAUAAUUCCAGAAGCUCUCAAAACGGAACCAAGAGAUGAUUACUGGCUGAUUGAAUCAAGGAACAGAGUCUUCCGCCAAAACAGAGAUAAACAAGGACACAAGAGGCACAUUCAAUCAGUUGUCUCGUGUUUAAAAGUGGCGCUUCUGGGGACCGUAGAUUCUUCUCUGAUUCUUCUUGUCUCAGCCAAGACUCACUAUCAUCAACUUUUUUCUUGUGCUUAUUACGGCAUGGGACACAGAGAGCUGAGAUAUGUCACGUGACAAAAAUAGAUAACAGAAAAUGUUACUGACGAUCACCUGAUUCAACUGGAAUAAUAACUCCAAACAGCUUUUGAACGUCCUGAGACAUAUGCAAGAUUGACCUGCUUGAUUUAUAUCGGUUACGCUUCAUGUUGACAAGUCCCUCAAAAUGGCGGCCAAACUUGGAGAUUGCCGAAAAUUAGGAUGAUCAAGCUUAAGAUGGCCUCAAAAAGAAGUGAACUCGACUGUAACAAUUUGGUGGCUACUUUGGAAACUUGAGCACUUGGUAAAUACACCUUGGCUUGCAAUUCUGAUGAUUACAGUUUUCUGAAGUAAUUGAAAUGUCGGUCCCCAUACAGGAAACUCCCACAUAACUUGCACAGUCAUAAGUUAUGAGAUGACUUUCGAAAAAUGCAUUUGUGUCUGUAAAACUAUUGUAAGUAAAGUACCACCUGGUGACAAAGAAAUUAAUGAUUUCCUGUAAGCAUGAAUUUUUGGGAGAAGUUAAAGUGGUAAUUUACCUUUUUUGCUAGUAUGAAUAGGAUUUGAUGAUUGUAAUGUAUCUCUCUUAAUUUUCAAACUUUCAACUCUUUUUUGAUUGUAACUGUCUACCAUAUCUAUUUCUCUGUACCUUAAGCCCUCAAAAGUUGAAGCAGGUGAGACAAUAACCUGACAUCGUUUGUUUGGAAUUGUGUGAUUAUAAUUUUGCUGUGUAAGUUGCCACGUUGUAUCAUAUAAUAUUAUCAUUUGGAUUGAAUUAAAUACUCUUGCUUAAGCUUUCA
Molecule: non-coding RNA, 1082 nt
Organism: Pocillopora verrucosa
Lineage: Eukaryota; Metazoa; Cnidaria; Anthozoa; Scleractinia; Pocilloporidae
Source: RefSeq, a predicted model, not a curated record